CUGUAGAGCAGGAAAGCAGGGGGACCGCAAGGCCUUGCGCUCUUUGAGCGGCCGAUGUCAGAUUAGCUAGUUGGUGAGGUAACGGCUUACCAAGGGCGACGAUCUGUAGCGGGGUCUGAGAGGAUGAUCCGCCUACACUGGAACUGAGACACGGUCCAGACUCCUACGGGAGGCAGCAGUGGGGAAUUUUGGACAAUGGGCGCAAGCCUGAUCCAGCCAUGCCGCGUGAGUGAAGAAGGCCUUCGGGGUUGUAAAGCUUCUUUCGGCCGGGAAGAAAUCGCAUGGGUUAAUACCCUGUGUGGAUGACGGUACCGGAAUAAGAAGCACCGGCUAACUACGUG
RNAcentral lists this ribosomal RNA (341 nucleotides) under uncultured bacterium. RNAcentral's name for it is "bacterial SSU rRNA". It matches the Rfam family "Bacterial small subunit ribosomal RNA", at positions 191 to 507 of the family's 1533-position model. The record is from RNAcentral.